GACUCUGUAGUGAAGUUCAUGUUGAGUUGCAAACUCAUUGAUGUGCAUUGGAAUGCACCGGGGUCU
Molecule: transfer RNA, 66 nt
Filed under: Rigidipenna inexpectata
Lineage: Eukaryota; Metazoa; Chordata; Aves; Caprimulgiformes; Podargidae
Description: tRNA-Cys
Source: RNAcentral